This is a long non-coding RNA of Wyeomyia smithii (pitcher-plant mosquito), 1420 nucleotides long. RefSeq lists it as uncharacterized. The record is from RefSeq and is a predicted model, not a curated record. NCBI's taxonomy places the organism in Eukaryota, Metazoa, Arthropoda, Insecta, Diptera, Culicidae. The transcript is spliced from 4 exons.
CAGAAGCCGAAAAUUUGUGUGCGUGGUUACCGGUGCAAACACCUCGUCGUAAUCUUCACCGUAGAUCUGCGAAAAACCCUGCGCUACCAGCCAUGCCUUAUAUUUGGUUACCUCUCCUAAAGCAUUGUGUUUCAACUUAUAAACCCAACGGCAACCAACAGGCUUUCGGUUCUCAGACCAUAGCAUCUUUAAAGUUCUUCGGUUCUACCGCGACAGUUCCGGCUACGAAACUGUCUCUUGUCUCUUCUAUCAACCUACUUGCCGGAAUGCCCUUCGUAGAGCGUCGGGAGCGCCUGGCUAUUUCAUCAAGAAGAUAGCCCUGAAAUGAAGAAUCAUCAUCAGAAGCACUAGCAUAGGGCAGCACAUCCGAAUUUUCAGAAUCGUCCAGCUCCAAAUCCAACUCAAUCGAAGGUGAAACUAGCGGUACGUCAAAGGAAGAUUUUGUUGCAACAGACUGCUCAGGUACGGUUUCCUUCACAAAGCUUUGUUCGAGAAACUUCGCAUCUCUGCUGAUGGUGACGAGUCCCGACUGCACAUUCAAGAAGCGAUAUGCUUUUCGUCCCUCUGCGUAGCCCACAAAAACUAGCUUCUCUAACUUGCGAUCCAGAGCUUUGCGUUUUACCUUCGGAACAUCGAUUUUGCAAAUAGUUCGCCGUAUUGAUAGCCUCCCCCCAGAACUUUUUCUCCAAGCCCGAGUCAGCCAACAUGCAACGCAUCAUCUCUUUUAGAUAACGGUUUUUCCGCUCAGCCACACCGUUUUGUUGCGGUGAAUACGGUGCCGUCAUUUGAUGCUCAAUGCCACAAUCUGCGAAAAACUUUUUCAAAACACGACCAGAAUACUCACCACCCCCAUCCGACCGGAUGCACUUGGGAUAGUGACCAAAAUGGUUUUUAACCAUGUUACAAUAUUCACGUAUCUUUUCUUCGGCAUCUGAUUUGCGCUGCAGCAAAUAAAUCACCGAAUAUCGACUAAAAUCAUCCACUAGGAUCAUAUAGUAAAAGCUUUCUCGCGGAGUGGCCACUUCCAUUGGACCACCUAAAUCGCACUUGAAUCUCGAUGCCCCAGACGACGAUGCCACAAAUGCUCGCAUAAACCACUGUGUUUCGUUUCGGUCACCAGCGCCUUCUCUGGAAACUGCUUCAAGUAGUAAAGACCACCUUUCCUUUGUCCAAGCAAAACCACGUCACUUCCAUUGAAAAUUUUGCAUCCAGACUUUUCAAACAGUACAGAGAGUCCGAGGUCUGCAAUCUUGCUCACCGAAAGUAGAUUGCUCAGUACAUGAAAAACAUUUUCUAAACCUACUUUCACUUGAGCACCUUUCCCGUUGACGCAAUAAAUUUUACUUGAGCCAUCACCAACUGAUUCACAGUAUUCCCAUCGGCCAAACAAAUGAUCGUCUCUCUAGAUCGGUCAAGCUCA